RNAcentral lists this ribosomal RNA (2884 nucleotides) under Candidatus Vampirococcus lugosii. RNAcentral's name for it is "23S ribosomal RNA". It matches the Rfam family "Bacterial large subunit ribosomal RNA". Lineage: Bacteria; Candidatus Absconditibacteriota. The record is from RNAcentral.
CUUGGAUAAAAAAGCCGAAGAAGGACGUGAAAGACUGCGAAAAGUCACGAUGAGGAGUCAGUAGCCGUUAUAGUCGUGAAUAUCCGAAUGGGGGAACCUAUCUUGUAUAACAAGAUAUUUUAUACUUAAGGUAUAGAAUGGGAACCAGGGGAAGUGAAAUAUCUCAGUACCCUGAGGAAAAGAAAUCGUAAGAGAUUCUCUUAGUAGUGACGAGCGAACGGGGAAUAGUCUAAACUGAUAUAGUGUUAAAGAGCCUAAUCGUUGCUAUAUUGGUGUUGAGGGAGUAAACUAUAGAUUUUAGGUAGAUCUGUAUAUUAUAUAUAAUGCUAGAUGAAAUAGGUGGGAAACUAUACUAUAGAAGGUGAAAGUCCUGUAGUUUAAAGUAUUAUGUGUUUAUAUGUUUAUUUCCCAAGUAGUGUCAAACACGAGAAAUUUGGCAUGAAUCUGUGCAGACCACUGUAUAAGACUAAAUACUUUUUUAUACCGAUAGUGAAUAGUACCGUGAGGGAAAGGUGAAAAGAACCUCUGAAAGAGGAGUGAAAUAGAUUUUGAAAUCCUAAGCUUACAAGGGAGUAGGAGCUUUAAAUAAAGUGACUGCGUACCUAUUGACGAAUGGGCCAGCGAGUCAAUAGCAUGAGCAAGGUUAAGACAGUGAUAGUUGGAGCCGUAGGGAAACCGAGUCUGAAUAGGGCGAAAUAGUUUAUGUUAUUGGACCCGAAGCCGUAUGAGCUAUCCAUGAGCAGGAUGAAGCUCGAUGAGAGUCGAGUGGAGGUCCGAACCGUUUGGAGCUGCAAAUCCUUCGGAUGACUUGUGGAUAGGAGUGAAAAGCUCAUCGAAUACGGUGAUAGCUGGUUCUCCCCGAAACAACUUUAGGGUUGGCCUGCAAAUUAGAUUUGGUAGAGGUAGAGCACUGAUAAGGCUAGGGGUAUCGAGAGAUAUUACCAAACCUUGUUAAACUUCGAAUGCUAUCAAUAAUUUUGUGGAGUUAGGCUAUGUGGGAUAAGCUUCAUAGCCAAGAGGGAAACAGCCCAGACUUCCAACUAAGGUCCCAAAAUAAUAGCUAAGUGGAAAAGGAUGUUUUCUUGCUGAGACAUUCAGGAGGUUUGCUUAGAAGCAGCAAUCCUUUAAAGAGUGCGUAAUAGCUCACUGAACAAGUGGGAAAGCGCCGAAGACGUAACGGGGCUAAAGCUAUUUACCGAAGUUGAAGAAUUAUGAUAAGAUUGUAAUUGGUAGGGGAGCGUUCUAUAUUGGUAGAAGUUGUGGUGUAAGCCUAUAUGGACGAUAUAGAAGUGAAAAUGCUGGCAUGAGUAACGCCGUAUGGUUAAAAUCCAUACCGCCGGAAGCCUAAGGAUUCCUUUUCAACGUUCAUCGAAAAAGGGUUAGUCGAGACCUAAGGUAAUCCCGAGAGGGUGUUCCGAUGGAAGACAGGUUAAUAUUCCUGUACCUAUUUAAUCUUAUGUUUUGUGGUAACAUAUUGGGAUGUGUAAAAGCUUUAUAAGGAUAUAUAGAGUUUAAGUAUUGAGACAAAAUUAGCUUAGCUAAUUUGUUUGUGAUAGGAAAAUCCGUUGCAGAAUUAAGUUGAGAUAUGAUAACAACUAUGUAGAGAUAUGUGGGAGUUUUAUAGUUCUGGUAUCAAGAAAAACCACUAAACAUAAGAUUAAAUAGCUCGUACCGAGAACCGACACAGGUAGGCAGGUAGAGAAUACUAAGGCGAUCGAGACAACUAGAUAUAAGGAACUCGGCAAAAAAGCGGACGUAACUUCGGGAUAAGUCCUGCCUAUUGUGAAAUAACAUAGUAGGCCGCAGCGAAUGACAUGGGGGGGACUGUUUACCAAAAACACAGCUUCCUGCUAACUCGAAAGAGGAUGUAUAGGAGGUGAUGCCUGUCCAGUGCCAGAAUGUUAAGCUCUUUGGUGAAAGCUAAGGUGUGAAGCACUGGUAAACGACGGCCGUAACUAUGACGGUCCUAAGGUAGCGAAAUUCCUUGUCGGGUAAGUUCCGACCCGCAUGAAUGGCACAACCAUCCCCAUACUGUCUUGUAUCUAGACUCGGUGAAAUUACAAUCCCGGUAAAAAUGCCGGGUAGAUGUGGUAAGACGGAGAGACCCCGUGAAGCUUUACUGUAGGUUGGUAUUGUGUUGAGAUAUAUAUUAUUCAGAAUAGUUGGGAGACUAGGAAGGUAUAGCGCUAGUUGUACUGGAGUCAACUUUGAGAUACCAUCUUUUAUAUAUUUUGACACUAACUUCACGAAGUGAAGGACAGUGCCUGCUGGACAGUUUACCUGGGGCGGGUGCCUCCUAAAGAGUAACGGAGGCGUACAAAGGUUAGCUUACUACGGAUGGAAACCGUGGAAGAAGUAUAUUCGCAAAAGCUAGCUUAACUGUGAGACUGACAGGUCGAACAGGUAGGAAACUAGGUGAAAGUGAUCCGGACUUUCUGUGUGGAAAGAAGUCCGCUCAACGGAUAAAAGCUACUCCGGGGAUAACAGGCUAAUAGGAUCCAAGAGUUCACAUCGACGAUCCUGUUUGGCACCUCGAUGUCGGCUCGUCACAUCCUGGGGCUGUAUUAGGUCCCAAGGGUUGGGCUGUUCGCCCAUUAAAGUGGUACGCGAGCUGGGUUCAGAACGUCGUGAGACAGUUCGGUCCCUAUCUACCAUAUCCGCAGGUAACUUGAGGAGAUCUGUUCCUAGUACGAGAGGACCGGGAUGGACUAGCCUCUGGUGUUUCGGUUGUUCAACCAUGAGCAGAGCCGAGUAGCUAUGCUGGGAAAGGAUAACUGCUGAAAGCAUAUAAGCAGGAAGCCAACUCCAAGAUUAGGUUGCCCAGUUGAUUGUUUGCUUGCAAACGAUCAAAAUAAGGUCCCCUGUAGACUACGGGGUUGAUAGG